CUCAGGACGAACGCUGGCGGCGUGCUUAAUACAUGCAAGUCGAACGCAAUCUUUGACCACUGAGUGCUUGCACUCAGCGUUUAAAGUGCGAGUGGCGAACGGGUGAGUAACACGUGGGCAAUCUGCCCAAAAGUGGGGGAUAACACUUGGAAACAGGUGCUAAUACCGCAUCAACCGGCUGACCGCAUGGUCGGCCGGGCAAAGACGGCGUCAGCUGUCGCUUUUGGAUGAGCCCGCGGCGUAUUAACUAGUUGGUAAGGUAACGGCUUACCAAGGUGAUGAUACGUAGCCGAACUGAGAGGUUGAUCGGCCACAUUGGGACUGAGACACGGCCCAAACUCCUACGGGAGGCAGCAGUAGGGAAUCUUCCACAAUGGACGCAAGUCUGAUGGAGCAACGCCGCGUGUAUGAAGAAGGUCUUCGGAUCGUAAAAUACUGUUGUCAGAGAAGAACACGUGAUAGAGUAACUGCUAUGRCGCUGACGGUAUCUGACCAGCAAGUCACGGCUAACUACGUGCCAGCAGCCGCGGUAAUACGUAGGUGGCAAGCGUUGUCCGGAUUUAUUGGGCGUAAAGGGAACGCAGGCGGUCUUUUAAGUCUGAUGUGAAAGCCUUCGGCUUAACCGGAGAAGUGCAUUGGAAACUGGAAGACUUGAGUGCAGAAGAGGAGAGUGGAACUCCAUGUGUAGCGGUGAAAUGCGUAGAUAUAUGGAAGAACACCAGUGGCGAAAGCGGCUCUCUGGUCUGUAACUGACGCUGAGGUUCGAAAGCGUGGGGAGCGAACAGGAUUAGAUA
Molecule: ribosomal RNA, 794 nt
Filed under: Ligilactobacillus acidipiscis
Lineage: Bacteria; Bacillati; Bacillota; Bacilli; Lactobacillales; Lactobacillaceae
Description: bacterial SSU rRNA
Rfam family: Bacterial small subunit ribosomal RNA
Source: RNAcentral